Molecule: long non-coding RNA, 666 nt
Organism: Tachysurus fulvidraco (yellow catfish)
Lineage: Eukaryota; Metazoa; Chordata; Actinopteri; Siluriformes; Bagridae
Exons: 3
Source: RefSeq, a predicted model, not a curated record
GAAAAAAAAGCCAAAAAAAUGUAAAUGAAUCAUGUUCACAGCUAAAGAGCUGUUGCUGUAGAGCAAGACUUAAAUUUGACUUAAAUUGGUUCUUUUGUCAAGUCUAGUUCUUUUUAUUUCUUUUUAUUCCGUCUUGUCUAAGGUAAAAUCAGUUCUUUUAAAACUUUCAGAGUGAUUCAUAAAUUUGUAAAAUUGUAAACUUGUACUUAAAAGACAAAAUAUGAAAAUUAUUUAUGAGAUUAGUCUCUAAUUUACAAAAAGGACUGCAAAUAAAACUGGACUCAUUUGAUGACAGGAGUUUCACAAUAAUCUGCAUCUGAUACUAGAUGUAAAAGUGUCUAUUAUUUUCUUAUUGAACAUUUAAUCACAGAACUAAAUGUAGAAAUGUUUUCACACAGCUGUAGAUGGACCAGAUCAGUGCUGUACCAAGUUUCUGAAAGAACAAAUCCCUGUAAGCUUCAUAACAACAUAUAAAGUAACUUCAUUGUACAAAACCUGGAGUCAUCUUUACUAUACAGGACGGUCGUCAUAUGUGUGCAGAUCCCCAAGUCAUGUGGGUGAAGAAUGACAUGAACAGAAUUGACCAGCGUUUAACAGCCUGAACAAAAGGGUCGCCACAGCGAAUCAUCUCUCACCACCUAUCCCUAUCUUCUGCAUCCUGAACAC